GAUGAACGCUGGCGGCGUGCCUAAUACAUGCAAGUCGAGCGAACAGACGAGGAGCUUGCUCCUCUGACGUUAGCGGCGGACGGGUGAGUAACACGUGGAUAACCUACCUAUAAGACUGGGAUAACUUCGGGAAACCGGAGCUAAUACCGGAUAAUAUAUUGAACCGCAUGGUUCAAUAGUGAAAGACGGUUUUGCUGUCACUUAUAGAUGGAUCCGCGCCGCAUUAGCUAGUUGGUAAGGUAACGGCUUACCAAGGCAACGAUGCGUAGCCGACCUGAGAGGGUGAUCGGCCACACUGGAACUGAGACACGGUCCAGACUCCUACGGGAGGCAGCAGUAGGGAAUCUUCCGCAAUGGGCGAAAGCCUGACGGAGCAACGCCGCGUGAGUGAUGAAGGUCUUCGGAUCGUAAAACUCUGUUAUUAGGGAAGAACAAAUGUGUAAGUAACUAUGCACGUCUUGACGGUAACUAAUCAGAAAGCCACGGCUAACUACGUG
This 497-nucleotide ribosomal RNA is filed under the name uncultured bacterium. RNAcentral's name for it is "partial 16S ribosomal RNA". It matches the Rfam family "Bacterial small subunit ribosomal RNA", at positions 28 to 507 of the family's 1533-position model. The record is from RNAcentral.